RNAcentral lists this ribosomal RNA (1100 nucleotides) under uncultured bacterium. RNAcentral's name for it is "bacterial SSU rRNA". It matches the Rfam family "Bacterial small subunit ribosomal RNA", at positions 29 to 1131 of the family's 1533-position model. The record is from RNAcentral.
ACGAACGCUGGCGGCGUGUUUAACACAUGCAAGUCGAACGGAAAGGCCCGCUUGCGGGUACUCGAGUGGCGAACGGGUGAGUAACACGUGGGCAACCUGCCCUCAGCUUCGGGAUAACACUUGGAAACAGGUGCUAAUACCGGAUAAUAACUUUUCAUCGCAUGGUGGAUGGUUCAAAGUUUUUCGGCUGAGGAUGGGCCCGCGGCCUAUCAGCUUGUGUGGUGGGGUAAUGGCCUACCAAGGCGACGACGGGUAGCCGGCCUGAGAAGGGCGACCGGCCACACUGGGACUGAGCACACGGCCCAAACUCCUACGGAGGCAGCAGUGGGGAAUAUUGCGCAAUUAAGGGCGAAAGCCUGACGCAGCGACGCCGCCUGGAGGAUGAACGCCUUCGGGUGGUAAACCUUCUUUCCACUUUGACAAACCGCAAGUGACGGAAGGAGCAGGAGGAGCACCGGCCAACUACGUGCCAGCAGCCGCGGUAAUACGUAGGGUGCAAGCGUUGGUCGGAAUUAUUGGGCGUAAAGAGCUCGUAGGCGGUUUGUCGCGUCGAAUGUGAAAACCCGGGGCUCAACCCCGGGCCUGCAUUCGAUACGGGCAGACUAGAGUUCGUGUAGGGGAGUCUGGAAUUCCUGGUGUAGCGGUGAAAUGCGCAGAUAUCAGGAGGGGGCACCGGUGGCGAAGGCGGGAACUCUGGGCCGAUACUGACGCUGAGGAGCACACUGAAAGCGUGGGGAGCAAACAGGUUUAUAUACCCCGGUAGUCCACGCCGUAAACGUUGGCCAAUCAUCGUGGGGGUCCUUCCACGACCUCCGUGCCGCAGCUAACGCAUUAAGCGCCCCGCCUGGGGAUUAAAGCCGCAAGGCUAAAACUCAAAGGAAUUGACGGGGGCCCGCACAAGCGGCGGAGCAUGCGGAUUAAUUCGAUGCAACGCGAAGAACCUUACCAAGGCUUGACAUGCACGGGAAAGUUCCAGAGAUGGUUCCCCCGCAAGGUCCGUGCACAGGUGGUGCAUGGUUGUCGUCAGCUCGUGUCGUGAGAUGUUGGGUUAAGUCCCGCAACGAGCGCAACCCUUGUCUUAUGUUGCCAGCACGUUAUGG